This 524-nucleotide ribosomal RNA is filed under the name Burkholderia cepacia. RNAcentral's name for it is "bacterial SSU rRNA". It matches the Rfam family "Bacterial small subunit ribosomal RNA", at positions 1 to 522 of the family's 1533-position model. Lineage: Bacteria; Pseudomonadati; Pseudomonadota; Betaproteobacteria; Burkholderiales; Burkholderiaceae. The record is from RNAcentral.
UGGAGAGUUUGAUCCUGGCUCAGAUUGAACGCUGGCGGCAUGCCUUACACAUGCAAGUCGAACGGCAGCACGGGUGCUUGCACCUGGUGGCGAGUGGCGAACGGGUGAGUAAUACAUCGGAACAUGUCCUGUAGUGGGGGAUAGCCCGGCGAAAGCCGGAUUAAUACCGCAUACGAUCUACGGAUGAAAGCGGGGGACCUUCGGGCCUCGCGCUAUAGGGUUGGCCGAUGGCUGAUUAGCUAGUUGGUGGGGUAAAGGCCUACCAAGGCGACGAUCAGUAGCUGGUCUGAGAGGACGACCAGCCACACUGGGACUGAGACACGGCCCAGACUCCUACGGGAGGCAGCAGUGGGGAAUUUUGGACAAUGGGCGAAAGCCUGAUCCAGCAAUGCCGCGUGUGUGAAGAAGGCCUUCGGGUUGUAAAGCACUUUUGUCCGGAAAGAAAUCCUUGGCUCUAAUACAGYCGGGGGAUGACGGUACCGGAAGAAUAAGCACCGGCUAACUACGUGCCAGCAGCCGCGGUA